GGGGAAUAUUGGGCAAUGGGCGAAAGCCUGACCCAGCAACGCCGCGUGAAGGAAGAAGGCCCUCGGGUUGUAAACUUCUUUUAUUCGGGACGAAACAAAUGACGGUACCGAAUGAAUAAGCCACGGCUAACUACGUGCCAGCAGCCGCGGUAAUACGUAGGUGGCGAGCGUUAUCCGGAUUUACUGGGUGUAAAGGGCGUGUAGGCGGGACUGCAAGUCAGAUGUGAAAAUUAUGGGCUCAACCCAUAACCUGCAUUUGAAACUGUAGUUCUUGAGUGAUGGAGAGGCAGGCGGAAUUCCGUGUGUAGCGGUGAAAUGCGUAGAUAUAACGAGGAACUCCGAUUGCGUAGGCAGCUUACUAAGCCAUAACUGACGCUCAUGCACGAAAGCGUGGGGAUCAAACA
This 404-nucleotide ribosomal RNA is filed under the name uncultured Oscillospiraceae bacterium. RNAcentral describes it as "bacterial SSU rRNA". It matches the Rfam family "Bacterial small subunit ribosomal RNA", at positions 356 to 774 of the family's 1533-position model. The record is from RNAcentral. Lineage: Bacteria; Bacillati; Bacillota; Clostridia; Eubacteriales; Oscillospiraceae.